UAACAACUUGUUUACCAUCUCGCACAGUAGGGGGAACAAACGAGAGAUGUUUGGCCGUCUGAGUAUUGCGAUUUCCUCGCACCACAUCCGCAGCAGUCGGACUGGAUUUCUCCCCAACUAUGAGAUUAGUGAAUUGUAAACGCCUUGCAGCAAUUUCUGAAGCUACUUCAGUCUUCUUCACUGGUGAUUUACAAGUAUCUACCUCUGCAUGCAUCGCUAUUGGAGAAUGAAGCUUCUGAGGCAGAAAGUUACCAAAAGUUAAUGGUUCAAGUUCCUGGAUUGUGCCAUUCUCAGGUGUGACGAGUUGAGUAGUAGUAGGUGGAGGGUUACGCCGGCGACGAGCAAUAUUCCGACGACGAUUGCGAUCUUGCUAUCGUGCGCCAGUAAGAGCUACUG
Molecule: long non-coding RNA, 396 nt
Filed under: Nicotiana benthamiana
Lineage: Eukaryota; Viridiplantae; Streptophyta; Magnoliopsida; Solanales; Solanaceae
Description: long non-coding RNA (NBEN_LNC033887)
Source: RNAcentral